CAAUAGCGUAUAUUUAAGUUGUUGCAGUUAAAAAGCUCGUAGUUGGAUUUCUGGUGGGAGCGAUCGGUCUGGCGCUUAGCGCGAGUACUUGCAUCGUCUCCGGCCAUCCUUGGGGAGAGUCUGUCUGGCAUUAGGUUGUCGGGCAGAGGAUCCUCAUCGUUUACUGUGAAAAAAUUAGAGUGUUCAAAGCAGGCUUAUGCCGUUGAAUAUAUUAGCAUGGAAUAAUAAGAUAGGACUUUGGUACUAUUUUGUUGGUUUGCGCACCAAAGUAAUGAUUAAUAGGGACAGUUGGGGGUAUUCGUAUUCCGUUGUCAGAGGUGAAAUUCUUGGAUUUACGGAAGACGAACUACUGCGAAAGCAUUUACCAAGGAUGUUUUCAUUA
Molecule: ribosomal RNA, 382 nt
Filed under: uncultured eukaryote
Lineage: Eukaryota
Description: partial 18S ribosomal RNA
Rfam family: Eukaryotic small subunit ribosomal RNA
Source: RNAcentral